AUGGCGGGACCUUAUGCAAGUUCGGGCUGGUCGGACCUCCCCAUCGACCUCCUCAUCCGGAUACUGCAUCUCCUCGAGCUCCCCGAGGCCCUCGCCUUCGGCGCUGUCUGCUCGUCAUGGCGUUCUGCAUCUGUGGCCGCCGGCUGUGUCCCAUAUCGCCAGACGCCCUGGCUCGUGUCCUUGGCGGACGAGCCUCUUCCGGUAGGGGAUCAACAGCUGCGUGUGCGUCGUGGGCUAUGGGAUCCUGCUGCUACCACUGAGCACCGGAGCCUACUGGAUCCUGAUAGAACUUUUCAGGUCAGCUUUCCCGGGGGCCAAGCCGUGGCCUGCUGCGGCGCCUCCCAUGGCUGGUUAAUCAUGGCGAACGAGCUCUCGGAUCUCGUCCUAUAUAACCCCUUCACCGCGGCGUUGAUCCCGCUCCCGCCAAUCACUGGGUUUGCAUCUUGCAUCGAGGGGGUUUAUGAAGACGGAGGGAAAAUCGUGGGCUAUCGUUACAGGUGUUACAUGAUGGAACACGUUCAUGGUGUGCAGUCUCCCGGCGCGUGUUUCUACGACAAGGUUGUGCUGUCCGGUCCUCCGUCCACUUGUCGCGCUGUCGCUCUGGUCAUCCACCUGGACGGCAAGCGCCUCUCUUUCGCAAGGAUAGGAGACAGCUAUUGGCAACAAGUUUCGGUGAUCCAAAGAAGCGGGGACAGCUUUGCCGAUUGUAUCUACCACCGCGGAAGGUUCUAUGCGGUGACAAUGGAAGGAAUAUUGAAGUCAUGGGACUUUGGUGGACCAGACAAACCGAGGAAGAAGACGGUCAUCGCCGAGGAUGACAACGACAUGUUCGACGACCCAGUUAUCACUAGGUAUUUGCUUUCGACACCUUGGGGUCAUCUCCUGCAGGUGCGUGUCUUUCUUGACACGCUCCGUGGAAACAACAUCAGGAUUGAAAUAGACAGGUUGGACCUCAAGAGUCAGACAAGGGUUGCACUGAGCUCAGGGAAGGCUCUGCGGGGACAUGCGGCCUUCGUCGGCCAGAAUAGCCCAGGCAUUUUAUCAACCAAAAAAUUCCCCGAACUAAAACCGGAUUGUAUCUAUUUCACAACUCCACGCCUCAGAAAGCGCCGCCCUUUCGAGAAUCGCCAUAACCAAUGGAGCGGCGUGAAGGUCUAUGACCUGAAAAGACGGACGCUCGAGGCGGCUUUCCCAUCUGGUGGAGGUCAUUACGGAACCAUCUGCCCAUUGGAAGUCUGGUUCACGCCGAGUCUAGUCUGA
Molecule: ribosomal RNA, 1260 nt
Filed under: Triticum aestivum (bread wheat)
Lineage: Eukaryota; Viridiplantae; Streptophyta; Magnoliopsida; Poales; Poaceae
Description: partial small subunit ribosomal RNA
Source: RNAcentral